Molecule: ribosomal RNA, 253 nt
Filed under: uncultured bacterium
Lineage: Bacteria
Description: partial 16S ribosomal RNA
Rfam family: Bacterial small subunit ribosomal RNA
Source: RNAcentral
UACGUAGGCAGCGAGCGUUGUUCGGAAUUACUGGGCGUAAAGAGCGUGUAGGCGGCCAGACAGGUCCGUUGUGAAAACUAGAGGCUUAACCUCUAGACGUCGAUGGAAACCGUCUGGCUAGAGUCCGGAAGAGGAGAAUGGAAUUCCUGGUGUAGCGGUGAAAUGCGCAGAUAUCAGGAAGAACACCCGUGGCUAAGGCGGUUCUCUAGUACGGUACUGACGCUGAGACGCGAAAGCGUGGGGAGCGAACAGG